UAGGGAAUCUUCCACAAUGGACGCAAGUCUGAUGGAGCAACGCCGCGUGAGUGAAGAAGGCUUUCGGGUCGUAAAACUCUGUUAUUGAAGAAGAACGUGUGUGACAGUAACUGGUCAUGCAGUGACGGUAUUCAAUCAGAAAGUCACGGCUAACUACGUGCCAGCAGCCGCGGUAAUACGUAGGUGGCAAGCGUUGUCCGGAUUUAUUGGGCGUAAAGCGAGUGCAGGCGGUCUUUUAAGUCUGAUGUGAAAGCCUUCGGCUUAACCGAAGAAGGGCAUCGGAAACUGGGAGACUUGAGUGCAGAAGAGGAGAGUGGAACUCCAUGUGUAGCGGUGAAAUGCGUAGAUAUAUGGAAGAACACCAGUGGCGAAGGCGGCUCUCUGGUCCGUAACUGACGCCGAGGCUCGAAAGCGUGGGUAGCAAACAGGAUUAGAUACCCUGGUAGUCCACGCCGUAACGAUGAAUACUAAGUGUUGGAG
RNAcentral lists this ribosomal RNA (480 nucleotides) under uncultured bacterium. Its description in RNAcentral is "partial 16S ribosomal RNA". It matches the Rfam family "Bacterial small subunit ribosomal RNA", at positions 355 to 828 of the family's 1533-position model. The record is from RNAcentral.